RNAcentral lists this long non-coding RNA (514 nucleotides) under Serinus canaria (Common canary). RNAcentral describes it as "lncRNA (ENSSCAG00000012403.1)". Lineage: Eukaryota; Metazoa; Chordata; Aves; Passeriformes; Fringillidae. The record is from RNAcentral.
AGUGGACAAAAACAGCAAACCAGCAGCAGUACUUAUAUUCAGGGCUACAGACCUCAAGGUGGCAGUUCCUAUGGCCAGGGUUACCAAGGCGGCCAGUCCUAUGGCCAGGUGAGACUUUGUUGCUGAAAUGUGUUGAGCUUUUCUGUAGGAGCCUGUCCUGUAAAUGGGCUUGGGGGGCAUGGGUGGUUUUUUUCCUUCCUGGUGUUUCUGCAUGGUCCUUGAUUUGGUUUGUGCCACUGAAAUACCAUGAGGGCAAAAGUAACAUAGUCAAGAGGAACCUUUAAUGGAAAUGGGCUUUUCUCUCUGGUGCUUCUGCUGUGCUGGGACUACACUUACACAGCUCAUUUUACAACUGACUCCCUGCCUUUCUUACAGGGUUCUCAGCCUCAAGGUGGCAGCUCCUAUGGACAGCAGGGUGGAUCUGCAGCUUAUUUUGGCAGCAGUGGUUGUGGACAAGGUGUCUCCUAUGACAGCAAUCCCUGCCACCAGGGUGGAUCACAGGGUGGUCAGGUAG